RNAcentral lists this long non-coding RNA (719 nucleotides) under Bos mutus (wild yak). RNAcentral's name for it is "lncRNA (ENSBMUG00000016637.1)". Lineage: Eukaryota; Metazoa; Chordata; Mammalia; Artiodactyla; Bovidae. The record is from RNAcentral.
UGCAACUGCUCUGUCCUGCCUUCUCAGGUUCACUUCCCUCCUUCCCACUCCAGAAGGGAAAGGAACAGCCUGUUCCCUGAGCUCAGAGGGGAAGAAAUGACGGUUGGGGGAGCCGCUGUGUCCUUCUGUGGGGAGGAGUUCCCAGCAUAUUCCUGGAAGGUGUGGGAUGAAAAAGAAUCCACCUUUGAGUGUGCUGCUUCUGUGAUUCUGCCAUGUGUGCCUCGGAGCUGGGGAUGUGCUAGGAUGGGAGGAUGGUGUUGCCUUGAGAUUCCGGUGGUGAUGGAUGGAGAGGAGGUUGGAGCCUCUGGGGCUCCAUCAGAGCGGGAGUCAGCAUCCAGACAAGCGGAGGUGCACCCUUUGGCGUGCAUCCCUAAUGCUCCCCGGUGAGUAAAUUUCCAAGCCAUCAAGAAGAAAUACGGUUGUCUCUCCAGCGUUCCAACAGGACCAUUCCAACAUCACUUGAACGUAAGCUCAAUGAAAACUGGCCUUUUCCUAUGUUUGGUUCACUGCUGGGACCCGGCACCUAGGGAAGAACCUCUUCAAUAACAAUACUCAGUGGAUUUUCCUUAAAUUACUGAGACUGUGGAAGGCUGGUUGUGUUGGAGGUACUCUGCAAGGCAUUGGAAAUAUUGGGAAAGUAAAUCCAGGGUCCACAACCUCAUCAUCUACCAGGUAGGAAGAAAAAUAAACAGAAAAUCACAGUUUGUAACCUGUGCUCC